UCUGGGUGAGGAUUCACAGGACUUU
This 25-nucleotide microRNA is filed under the name Canis lupus familiaris (dog). RNAcentral's name for it is "cfa-miR-8883 (MIR8883)". Lineage: Eukaryota; Metazoa; Chordata; Mammalia; Carnivora; Canidae. The record is from RNAcentral.